AACCCCCUCAAGCGCAGCUUGUUGUUGGGCGUUUGUCCCGCCCCCCGGCCGGACUCGCCCCGAAUCCAUUGGCGGCCCCCGCAUUGGGCUAUCGAGCGCAGCAGACUUUGCGCCUCGGGCACAGCGCGCGGGCGACCACUGAGUGACCCCCAUCCA
Molecule: unclassified non-coding RNA, 156 nt
Filed under: uncultured Tetraplosphaeria
Lineage: Eukaryota; Fungi; Ascomycota; Dothideomycetes; Pleosporales; Tetraplosphaeriaceae
Description: sequence contains ITS2
Source: RNAcentral